Molecule: long non-coding RNA, 778 nt
Filed under: Homo sapiens (human)
Lineage: Eukaryota; Metazoa; Chordata; Mammalia; Primates; Hominidae
Description: non-protein coding FAM111A-DT:25
Source: RNAcentral
ACAGCGCUCCUCCUUGACGCCGCGAGCAGGACCCUGUCUCACUGACCCCGUGCCCACGGCGGUCCUUGCCUGCUUCUAUUCUCCCGGUUUCCCCAGUCCCGAGUAUUGGAAAGCGAGAGCGAAAGCGAAAGCAUCCUAGUCGCCGGUAGGCUGGCCUGGGCCGGGCUGGAGAGGGAGCAGGAAAUAAAAACUCGGGUGUGGGAGGAGCUGGGACGCUGGCGGCAGAGCCACUGUGGCAGCUUGAGUCUCGCGCGCGCAGGAAGCGGAGGUGGAAGUUGGGGCGCAGGAAUGUGGCUGUCCCCGCCUGUAAAUCAUGGUUGGGGAGGAGUCGCGGAGGCACCAGGCUGGGGUCUGCAGCGCGCCAUCUGCUGCAGCACACAGGAGGCGCUGAGGCUAGUUGGGUUCAAGCGAUUCUCAUGCCUCAGCCACUUGAGUAGCUGGGACUACAGGAUUUCGCCAUGUUCCCCAGGCUGGUCUCAAACUCCUGAACUCAGGCAGCCCGCCUACCUUGGCCUCCCAAAGUGCUAGGAUUACAGGUAUGAACCACCGCGCCCGGCCAGUUUCUUAAUUCUUAGACUAAAUCUACGGGGGACACACUUUUGCCAACAUUAGCUGCAAAGGGUUUUUUCCUCCACACUUAAGUCACGGUCAGUAAGUAGUUUUUUUUUUUUUCCUGUGUUUUUGUUUCCUUGUUUGUUUUUAUUUGGGAAAAUGCCUCUUUUGAUAGUAAUGAAUUAUUUUUUACACGCAAGGUCAAAAACAGCAUGGAGUGAAUUUU